This 585-nucleotide long non-coding RNA is filed under the name Rattus norvegicus (Norway rat). RNAcentral's name for it is "long non-coding RNA NONRATT025569". The record is from RNAcentral. Lineage: Eukaryota; Metazoa; Chordata; Mammalia; Rodentia; Muridae.
GACCCCGGCGUCCUCCACCAUGGACACUGUCCCCUCGGAGGGCAACCACAAGCCAUCUACCACAGCAGCGAACUCCUCUGCCUCUGCGGCAGCUCCUGGCCCGCCCGCGGCAGCCUUGGCUCGUGAGUGUGUGGUGUGCUCUGAAGGCGAGGCCAUGGCUGCGUUGGUCCCCUGUGGCCACAACCUCUUCUGCAUGGAUUGUGCUGUCCGCAUCUGCGGGAAGAGUGAACCAGAGUGUCCCGCCUGCCGCACGCCGGCUACCCAAGCCAUUCAUAUCUUUUCCUAGUGUACCCCUACUUGACCGGGCGGCCAUGGCUCUCCAGGCAGGAGGCCCUCUGGCCUCCGGGUGGGAGAGGUGGUGAAGUGGGGCGUGGGCUGCAGGGCGGUGGGGAGGAGGGGGCCCACGCGUGUGUGUGUCGCAAACAGCUUUAACUCCUGCAGCAGACGUCGAGGCCAUCAGCUUGAGGCCCAGCGGCAGCGCCUCCGUUCUUGACAAGUGACAGUAUUGAGUGUGCCGGUGACAAUAAACCGGAAAAUUCUCUGUUUGCACUUUUUAUUAAGACGCCCCUCCCCAUUUCCGGGGUG